RNAcentral lists this unclassified non-coding RNA (216 nucleotides) under Hevea brasiliensis (rubber tree). Lineage: Eukaryota; Viridiplantae; Streptophyta; Magnoliopsida; Malpighiales; Euphorbiaceae. The record is from RNAcentral.
AGGUAUUGCAACUAUCUAAUACGUGAACCUUUACCUGAGAUGUAGUUAUAAUGCAGAACAAGUAGUCUGCAGUUUAGUGAUACAUUUGUUCUUAAAAAUGUCAAACAUCCCUUUUCUUUGCGAUAUUGGAAACGAAUGAAUAAGAGAAACUAGUUUUGUUCCAUUUCUAUCACAAAUUGAUUAGCUAAGUCCUUUGAUUUGCAGGUCACGACUCCU